RNAcentral lists this ribosomal RNA (253 nucleotides) under uncultured bacterium. RNAcentral's name for it is "partial 16S ribosomal RNA". It matches the Rfam family "Bacterial small subunit ribosomal RNA", at positions 524 to 776 of the family's 1533-position model. The record is from RNAcentral.
UACAGAGGGGGCAAGCGUUAUUCGGAAUUAUUGGGCGUAAAGGGCGCGUAGGCGGCCUGGCAAGUGGAAGGUGAAAUCCCUCGGCUUAACCGCGGAACUGCCCUCCAAACUGCUUGGCUUGAGUCCGGGAGAGGUGAGUGGAAUUCCCAGUGUAGCGGUGAAAUGCGUAGAUAUUGGGAGGAACACCAGUGGCGAAGGCGGCUCACUGGACCGGAACUGACGCUGAGGCGCGAAAGCGUGGGGAGCAAACGGG